CGAGAUUGAAAAUAAUUUUGAAAAAAAAAAUUAAAAUUUGAGUUCGGAUGGUGUUUUUGAAAGAAAAGUUAGAAAAAGGGGGUCAAAAUACAAAAAAAAAAAAUUGGCCACGUAGGAUGGCCCAAUCAGCAGUCCCAAUUAACCGGAGUACGUUGCAUGUCAAAACACACUAACGUUCGCGCCACGUGGGAGGCCACGGGGGGUGAUCCGCAUACCCAGCGAUCCGACGACCCAGGUUCGAUCCCGUGUGCAUGAACGAUUCAGAUUUGUUUCAUUCUUAGACAUGAUCAGACGGAUGAGAUCAAUUAUAAUGAACAGUCUAGUUUCACCCACGUAAUUGGCCUAGAUAGGCAAAGAUUAAACGACCCUCCUUGCUCUAUGUUGAUGUAAAUGGAUGGUUCAAAUCGACGCGGGAUGGGUAUAAAUACCUCAUGUCGCAGGGGAAUCCAAACCCUAGCUGCUAGCCCUUACUGGAUAAGAAGAACUAGGUGCCAGAAAAAAAGGUCGACUGCCAACUACCG
RNAcentral lists this long non-coding RNA (521 nucleotides) under Carica papaya (papaya). Its description in RNAcentral is "long non-coding RNA (CPAP_LNC004568)". Lineage: Eukaryota; Viridiplantae; Streptophyta; Magnoliopsida; Brassicales; Caricaceae. The record is from RNAcentral.